GCGGCCGAGCUGGACGGGGAACCCCGAGGAGAAGGGGGCAAACGGGGAGGGAUGCAGGCGGGGCGCUGAGAAGUUUAUCGUUGUGAUUAGCGUGUUUUUCCUCCCAGAAAUUAACGGUGUGUGAAAUUGAAAGGAAGGGGGAAGGACUGUGAGCCCCACUUUCUAUCGCCGUCCGCGGUUGGGUGAUCAAAUAUGCCGGAGGCUAAGGUCAAUCCUUCGCUUGCCUAGGAAGCUGUGAAGGUGAAAGACCUGGAGGAAAGGCAACCAGUCAUCAAUCUCCAACUGCAAGGGACGUCUGAGGUCACUGGGUCAUUCUGCCUCCUCCCUUCACCGAUGGGGAUACUGAGGCCCAGAGCCACGAAGUCCCCUGUUCGGGCUCUCACAGCUCCUUGUUGGGAAUCAAUCUAGCCUCCUACAACUACUUGCAGCUAUUUAUCGUCCAAGUCCUGCUUAGUUCAAAACCCCUCCUUUUGAUUUUAACUCCAAGUGACUCUUGGAAGCUGCACAGCCAGGAAGUGGCUAACUCAGGAUUUGAACACGAGCCCUAGGCGGCUCGUGGGUUUGGAACAAGAAGGCCCCGGAGAGAAUGUUAUCCAAUCCCCUCAUUUUGCAAACGAAGUUUUUGGGAGUCCCCAAAAGCUUCUUACACCUGCCACUUUCACCUGUGGAAGUGGCCUCCUGUAGCUCCUGGAAAGAGCCCCUCCCAAGAAGCAAUUCUUAGCCUUCCCAGUGGUUGUUACCCUGGCCUGAAGCUCUCUCCCCCAUCUCUGCCUCCUAGUUUCUUUCAAGCCUCAUCUGCAGGAAUCCUUUCCCAAUCCUCCUUAAUCUUUGUGCCUUCCCUUUGAACUGACCCCCAUUUAGCUCACUUUCAUCUUGUUUGUACCUAGUUGUUUGCAUUCUGUUUGACUGUAAGCCCCUUGGGAGUGAAACCAUGUUACCUUUCUUUAUAUCUCCAGUACUUAAUACAGAACCCAGCACAUACAAUUGCUCAAUAAACUCUGACCAGUUAAAUGACAAACUCUGUAUCCUUGAGGUUAGAAAGACAGACAAAAUGGUCCCUCCCAUCUUGGAAUUUAUAUUGUACUAAGUAGAAUUUGGUUGAAACAUUUUGCAGGAACAGAGAGUACUGACUGUGAUUGGAGAAAGGUGACUUUUCCUGUUUGAGAACCACCAAUAAUUUGCUCACGAAUUGAAGUGAGGCUGAAGCAUCAGCUUGUCCAGGGACAAGAUAAAAGUCGAAGUUAGUCUGAAUGGUUCAGGAUUCAGUGGCUGACCUUGACCUUUCUAAAUUAAAAUGAUUUCAUCCGCCUGGCAAAGGAAUUCCACCUUUGACAUUGUUUACUCCAGGGCUCUGACUACCUAAUAUAAGCAGAAACCUCUAAAUAUUUGAAUGUCCUCAUGCUCAAUAAAUUCUACAAAAAAAAAAAAAAAAAAAAAA
Antechinus flavipes (yellow-footed antechinus) is the source of this 1438-nucleotide long non-coding RNA. RefSeq lists it as uncharacterized. The record is from RefSeq and is a predicted model, not a curated record. NCBI's taxonomy places the organism in Eukaryota, Metazoa, Chordata, Mammalia, Dasyuromorphia, Dasyuridae. The transcript has 2 exons.